UUUGCUUAAAAUAAAAGGUCCAGCCUGCCCAGUGACACUGUUCAACGGCCGCGGUAUCCUAACCGUGCGAAGGUAGCGUAAUCACUUGUUCUUUAAAUGAGGACUAGUAUGAAAGGCACCACGAGAGUCAUACUGUCUCCUCUUUCCAAUCAGUUAAACUAAUCUCCCCGUGAAGAAGCGAGGAUAACUAUAUAAGACGAGAAGACCCUAUGGAGCUUUAAACGAAUAACACUUGCCCACUUACUCCUUUAAAUUUCAGAAAAAUCUAUUACCUUGGCAUCAUGCUUAUAAGUUUUUGAUUGGGGUGAUCACGGAACAAAAAAUAACCUCCGCAAUGAAAGACUCUCCAUAACUAAGUCAAGAACCACAACUCUACACAUCAACAAAUUGACACCAAUUGACCCAAUUUUUUGAUCAAUGAAC
This 423-nucleotide ribosomal RNA is filed under the name Adenomera andreae group sp. ABGD cluster 3. Its description in RNAcentral is "partial large subunit ribosomal RNA". It matches the Rfam family "Bacterial large subunit ribosomal RNA", at positions 1835 to 2457 of the family's 2925-position model. Lineage: Eukaryota; Metazoa; Chordata; Amphibia; Anura; Leptodactylidae. The record is from RNAcentral.